UUUAUUGGAGAGUUUGAUCCUGGCUCAGGAUGAACGCUGGCGGCGUGCCUAAUACAUGCAAGUCGAGCGAAUGGAUUGAGAGCUUGCUCUCAAGAAGUUAGCGGCGGACGGGUGAGUAACACGUGGGUAACCUGCCCAUAAGACUGGGAUAACUCCGGGAAACCGGGGCUAAUACCGGAUAAUAUUUUGAACUGCAUGGUUCGAAAUUGAAAGGCGGCUUCGGCUGUCACUUAUGGAUGGACCCGCGUCGCAUUAGCUAGUUGGUGAGGUAACGGCUCACCAAGGCAACGAUGCGUAGCCGACCUGAGAGGGUGAUCGGCCACACUGGGACUGAGACACGGCCCAGACUCCUACGGGAGGCAGCAGUAGGGAAUCUUCCGCAAUGGACGAAAGUCUGACGGAGCAACGCCGCGUGAGUGAUGAAGGCUUUCGGGU
RNAcentral lists this ribosomal RNA (435 nucleotides) under Bacillus cereus. RNAcentral describes it as "bacterial SSU rRNA". It matches the Rfam family "Bacterial small subunit ribosomal RNA", at positions 1 to 423 of the family's 1533-position model. The record is from RNAcentral. Lineage: Bacteria; Bacillati; Bacillota; Bacilli; Caryophanales; Bacillaceae.